Long non-coding RNA from Sapajus apella (tufted capuchin), 888 nucleotides. RefSeq lists it as uncharacterized. The record is from RefSeq and is a predicted model, not a curated record. Lineage: Eukaryota; Metazoa; Chordata; Mammalia; Primates; Cebidae. The transcript is spliced from 2 exons.
AAAAAAAAGGUCUAGAAGGCCUUGAGGUGGAAAGGAAGCUGCUUCUCUGAUGCUCAGUUCCAGGAGCCAUCUCUUGUCCAGCGGAGUCUGUGGCUUGGCAGCUGGAGGUGUGAGUCACCCCUAAUGGAGGUGGGAGAAUGGAGGCGUGGAGGGAGGCCCAAUCCCAACAAAUCACAUCCAUGUUCACAAGAGCUCCUGCCAACAGCCCCUCUUGGAGCCUGGGGAUCAGCAUCCCACAUGGCCUUCCCUUUGCUGCACUAGAUGCAGCUUCACCUCCCUGCGUUCCCCUGCCAAGUGGGGUCAGCUGCUUGGGCAGUCACUCCAGUCCUGCCCACGCUGCAGAAGACAGGCACUGUGUGUCCCUCCUACAGAUGGAAUGGAUGCUCGUCAGCUGCUGUCAAUGGAGAGACAGGAGGCCCUCAUGCAAACUGGCAGCCCUAGAGGAGAACCCGCCACACCUGUUGGACAGAAACAGUACCCAGAACCCUCAGCCUGCCUCUGCCCGACAAGGCCCUGGCUGCCUGGCCAACUGGCUUGCAGAAGAGGGACAUUGGUCCGAGUCAAGGGGACCAGGUUGGAGGCAUUGCAUUGUCACCUGGCAGUAGUAUGUCUGGGCAACAUGCGUUCUCUCUCUCCCCCUUCCCCUGCUGGCCAGAUGUCCCUCAGAUUCAUCCUGGAUCCGGUGCUGUUCUUCUUUGAGUAUAUGGCCUGCUUCAAGGGGAGACUAAAAUGCAUCUGAAUUUUUAUUUGGAGAGAUCUGAAUUUAUUUUAUUAACAAGUCUGGUCCUUUGGGGCCGAACUUUCCAUUUGUCAUGGAAGUGCCGGACAAAAUCUUGACUCCAAUGUGGUAGAAAGACCAGCUUCCCAAAAUGAACAUCCUAAAUCAAA